Molecule: ribosomal RNA, 460 nt
Filed under: uncultured bacterium
Lineage: Bacteria
Description: partial 16S ribosomal RNA
Rfam family: Bacterial small subunit ribosomal RNA
Source: RNAcentral
CCUACGGGAGGCAGCAGUGAGGAAUAUUGGUCAAUGGACGAGAGUCUGAACCAGCCAAGUAGCGUGAAGGAUGACUGCCCUAUGGGUUGUAAACUUCUUUUAUAAAGGAAUAAAACGAGGCACGUGUGCCUUUUUGCAUGUACUUUAUGAAUAAGGAUCGGCUAACUCCGUGCCAGCAGCCGCGGUAAUACGGAGGAUCCGAGCGUUAUCCGGAUUUAUUGGGUUUAAAGGGAGCGUAGAUGGGUUGUUAAGUCAUGUGUGAAAGUUUGCGGCUCAACCGUAAAAUUGCAAUUGAUACUGGCAGUCUUGAGUACAGUUGAGGUAGGCGGAAUUCGUGGUGUAGCGGUGAAAGGCUUAGAUAUCACGAAGAACCCCGAUUGCGAAGGCAGCUUACUAAACUGUGACUGACAUUGAUGCUCGAAAGUGUGGGUAUCAAACAGGAUUAGAUACCCGUGUAGUC